RNAcentral lists this ribosomal RNA (492 nucleotides) under uncultured bacterium. RNAcentral's name for it is "partial 16S ribosomal RNA". It matches the Rfam family "Bacterial small subunit ribosomal RNA", at positions 29 to 507 of the family's 1533-position model. The record is from RNAcentral.
AGUGAACGCUGGCGGUAGGCCUAACACAUGCAAGUCGAACGGCAGCACAGUAAGAGCUUGCUCUUACGGGUGGCGAGUGGCGGACGGGUGAGGAAUACAUCGGAAUCUACUUUUUCGUGGGGGAUAACGUAGGGAAACUUAUGCUAAUACCGCAUACGACCUACGGGUGAAAGCAGGGGAUCUUCGGACCUUGCGCGAUUGAAUGAGCCGAUGUCGGAUUAGCUAGUUGGCGGGGUAAAGGCCCACCAAGGCGACGAUCCGUAGCUGGUCUGAGAGGAUGAUCCGCCACACGGGAACUGAGCCGCGGUCCAGCCUCCUCCGGGAGGAAGCGGGGGGGAAUAUUGAAGAAGGGGCGCAAUCCUGAUCCAGCAAUCCGGGGGGGGGGAAAAGGUCUGUGGGGUUGAAAAGCCUUUUGGUGGGGAAAAAAAAGCAGAGGGUUAAUACCCGGCUGUUCGCAGGGUCCCCAAAAAAAAACCACCGACAAUCUUCUCG